GUGCUGAUGUCUCUCUGAAUAAAGCAUAAAGGGAAGAUGAGAGGAAUAAUACUGCUCAGUCUUCUGGGUGUUGUCCUGGCUCUGCCUAAACCUCAACAACAAAAACGGCUGUGGCCAAAAGGUUCCAGGGUUCCCCUUGAAAAUGAAGAUGGGUUUGGAGAACAGGAACAACAAGAGACUCCCCAUGGUUUGGUAUACACAGGUACUCAGCCCACUAUGGAGUCCACUACUAGACCCUAUGCAAACACCGAGAACACAAUCCUAUCAGCAGUUGUAAAUCCUUUUAUAUCAGCAGUUCUAAACACUUUUGAGAGUUUGUUUAUUGAUUAUUAAAGGACUGUAUUGCUGUUAACUAUUCCUGGUUUGAGUUAGGGCUAUCGUGGUGGUGUGUCCAAUAAACCAGUGGUGUUCAA
Coregonus clupeaformis (lake whitefish) is the source of this 413-nucleotide long non-coding RNA. RefSeq lists it as uncharacterized. The record is from RefSeq and is a predicted model, not a curated record. The transcript is spliced from 3 exons. Lineage: Eukaryota; Metazoa; Chordata; Actinopteri; Salmoniformes; Salmonidae.